This is a long non-coding RNA of Choloepus didactylus (southern two-toed sloth), 573 nucleotides long. RefSeq lists it as uncharacterized. The record is from RefSeq and is a predicted model, not a curated record. The transcript has 3 exons. Lineage: Eukaryota; Metazoa; Chordata; Mammalia; Pilosa; Megalonychidae.
GAACGUGUCUCCCACCAGAUGCGGCUGGAGGCAGGGACUGGCGCAGCCGUUGUGAGGAGACAACCUGCUGUGAGACGCGCCCGGCCGGGGACUGCUGCUGACCGGCCGCUCCUGCACUGCCCGCCCUGGGGCUGGUGGACGCAUCGUGGGAGUUUGGUGCCCGACAGGAUCAGGAAUGGGCUGCAGCGGGCAACUCAGAAACGAGGAUCACAGAUGGCCAACAAGUGACGAGGAGGGAAACCCAGGAGACGCAGCCUGGGUGGCGAGCCCGCUGCUUUGGACACACCAGCGCCCCCGUCUCAUGAAGCCAGCACUUUCCACUCCCGUCCCCCCCCCGGGGGCCUGAGACACAGGCCUGGCCCACAGUCAUGGAGCUCGGUCCCAGGACCUCUGCCAGGACGAACGGGAAAGAGGCUCUGUCUUUCCCUCCUGGGGCUUCCAGGAGGGCGAGGUACAAGCCUGGAGCCCCUGGAAGCAAGUCCAGAGAUGGCCUGGUUGAGCACAGAGUCAAUCCAGAGGAAGGCAGAAUUGGGCAGAAGGGAGAGAAAAAGGGAGACGGAGGUGACAGGGGAG